GGUGGUGGUCGAGUGGUUUGCAGUGUCCGAUUGCCACCUCGGAGGUCCGAGGUUCGAAUCCUCGCCAUCACCG
RNAcentral lists this transfer RNA (73 nucleotides) under Fasciola hepatica (liver fluke). RNAcentral's name for it is "tRNA-Gly". Lineage: Eukaryota; Metazoa; Platyhelminthes; Trematoda; Plagiorchiida; Fasciolidae. The record is from RNAcentral.